Molecule: long non-coding RNA, 207 nt
Filed under: Setaria viridis
Lineage: Eukaryota; Viridiplantae; Streptophyta; Magnoliopsida; Poales; Poaceae
Description: long non-coding RNA (SVIR_LNC007532)
Source: RNAcentral
UAUUGGAGGUAUGCCCUAGAGGCAAUUAUAGAGGUGAUGAUAUCUGAUUGUAUCCAUGAUUUGUAUAUUGUGUUCAUUGAAUAUCCAUUGAAGGCUACUUGAAUUGAUCUGCAAUUAUGUGAAUUGUAUGUGGAACUCUUUACUUGUAUGGUUAUUCUAAAAGUUGUCCCUAGUCGGAGUUCAUGUGUGGACACACAUGAAUAUUAG